UGUAAGUUCGGCGGUUGUAAUCAGUGGUUGGCUCAGCUCAUGAAGACAAGACAAGAAUUCUUCUCGGUAGCGUUGAUUUUCAAACGGAUUCAAACGUCCUGUGAAUUCUUUCGUGACCCCAGCGAGCCGAGUGUGAAUGGCGGUAGAGGGCAGGCGGGCAACAUUUCCUGAACCGAGCAAUCCUGAUUCCUGAUUGUCUCAAGUGCAGAUGUAUUCGUGAGCGUGCCAGAGGGAGUGAAAUUAAUUUACCUUACGUGUACGAGUUAGUGAUUCUAGUACCAUCAGAUAUUAAGCGAAUGUAUCAUUCACUGUAAGUGAACCAUAUUCUACUUCCAGUUAUAACUCCUAAGACUAACACAGUCGUAUCGGUAGCCUAUAUGUUCAUAGUAGUAGUUGUUGUAGAAGUGCCCUCUCUAUAUCUGUGGUAACAACACUUCUGAGUGAAAUCAUUGCAAACAAUCCUUAACGUAUCCAUAAUUUCAGGAGGCUAAGUGACUUUGAGCAAUUAUUUUUUAAACUCGUUAUGAAAACCUUUAAAACCAAUUAUUUCUAUCCUAACUUCUUUAGGUUGCAAAUACUUCUGAACUAGCUUUAAAAGAAGAUGUAAUAACGAACUAUAUUAUUGCCUGAAAUGGUUUUCGCCAGUGAUCUGACAGAUAAUACAUAAACCCAUCUUCUCAUGAUUUAUA
Macrobrachium nipponense is the source of this 689-nucleotide long non-coding RNA. RefSeq lists it as uncharacterized. Lineage: Eukaryota; Metazoa; Arthropoda; Malacostraca; Decapoda; Palaemonidae. The transcript is spliced from 3 exons. The record is from RefSeq and is a predicted model, not a curated record.